AUUGAACGCUGGCGGCAGGCCUAACACAUGCAAGUCGAACGGUAACAGGAAGCAGCUUGCUGCUUCGCUGACGAGUGGCGGACGGGUGAGUAAUGUCUGGGAAGCUGCCUGAUGGAGGGGGAUAACUUCUGGAAACGGUAGCUAAUACCGCAUAAUGUCGCAAGACCAAAGAGGGGGACCUUCGGGCCUCUUGCCAUCGGAUGUGCCCAGAUGGGAUUAGCUUGUUGGUGGGGUAACGGCUCACCAAGGCGACGAUCCCUAGCUGGUCUGAGAGGAUGACCAGCCACACUGGAACUGAGACACGGUCCAGACUCCUACGGGAGGCAGCAGUGGGGAAUAUUGCACAAUGGGCGCAAGCCUGAUGCAGCCAUGCCGCGUGUAUGAAGAAGGCCUUCGGGUUGUAAAGUACUUUCAGCGGGGAGGAAGGGAGUAAAGUUAAUACCUUUGCUCAUUGACGUUACCCGCAGAAGAAGCACCGGCUAACUCCGUG
RNAcentral lists this ribosomal RNA (490 nucleotides) under uncultured bacterium. RNAcentral's name for it is "partial 16S ribosomal RNA". It matches the Rfam family "Bacterial small subunit ribosomal RNA", at positions 30 to 507 of the family's 1533-position model. The record is from RNAcentral.